This 4844-nucleotide small RNA is filed under the name Pan troglodytes (chimpanzee). Its description in RNAcentral is "processed transcript". The record is from RNAcentral. Lineage: Eukaryota; Metazoa; Chordata; Mammalia; Primates; Hominidae.
ACUACAGGUGCACGCCACCACGCCCAGCUAAUUUUUUUUUUGUAUUUUAGUAGAGACGGGGUUUCACCUUGUUUCCCAGGCUGGUCUCUAACUCUUGAGCUCAGGCAAUCCACCUGACUCGGCCUCCCAAAGUACUAGGAUUACAGGCAUGAGCCACCGCGCCCGGCCUAUUGGUUGGUUUUGUUAUAUGUAAAGUUGACUGCUUUUGUGUAGGUUAAGGGGUAGGAGGAAAAUGAAAUUGAUUAUGUCUGUUGAUGCCUUUGAUAUGUAGCUGUAUUAAUAAAAGCAAGCUAAUGAUAAUGUGUCUGGGGAUUUGAGGAGCAUGUACCCAUUGAAACUAUUGAUUCUUAAAUAUUGUGUUUUAUGUAUACAUGUAGUUUAUGUGUUCUUUUGUUCUUUACGUUAGUAUGUCUGCUUAACCAGUUGUCUACUUAAAUUGCUAUUAAACCCAGGAAAUUUUUUUUCUAUAGAAAGUGAGAAGAAUGCAACACAACUAAAAGUAAAUAUUUGUCAGUCAGUAGUUGUCCUUGAGGUAACUUAUUGCCACAGGGCAUCCUUUCGUUUGUCCUUGAAGAGAGAGGAAAGACUGCAUAGUUUCCCCACAUCCAGAGAUUUGCCAGACUCUCUUGUAUUUAAGCUGUGGCAGUCUGUUGUGGAUUGAGACCUUGAUCUUGGCAAUGGGCUUCUUCCUCCCAAACAUCCCCAUGUCUCAGUGGUCAUCUGCACGUGUGCUUUCAGCCAUUGUCUGCUCCAUUAUUGGACGUCAGCCAACCAGAGUAAAUCUCUCUUGGUGGUUUCAAGCCCCGCUGACUGUUCACAAGUUGGAUCAGCAGGAGAUAUCAGUAGCUUGACAAUCCAGCCUUUUGAGCAGUGUGUUCUCAGAGGCAACGGUCUGGUCCUUUGAUUUCUGGGCUUUGCUUCUGAAUGUGAAUUGUCCCAAGUUGGCAAAGAAACUAGCAGCUGCUAGAGUGCUGGGCUUGGAACCAGGUAAGAUGGAUUUUAAUUGCUUAUUUCCCAUUUCUCUGGCACCAGUUGAUCGUGGAACAGCAGGAUGAGCAGUUGGAGCUGGUCUCUGGCAGCAUCGGGGUGCUGAAGAACAUGUCCCAGCGCAUCGGAGGGGAGCUGGAGGAACAGGCAGUUAUGUUGGAAGAUUUCUCUCACGAAUUGGAGAGCACUCAGUCCCGGCUGGACAAUGUGAUGAAGAAACUUGCAAAAGUAUCUCAUAUGACCAGUGAUCGGCGCCAAUGGUGUGCCAUAGCCAUCCUCUUUGCAGUCCUGUUGGUUGUGCUCAUCCUCUUCUUAGUGCUGUGACGGCGGGGCCUCUGGGUGCGAGUUCCUCCUGCAUAUGAACCGAGGGGAGGAGGAGAAGCUGAGCACGUGUGACAUUGCCGUCUACUCACAUUCCUAUCCUGGAAACAUACUGCUGCACUGACUUUUCUCCGUGUGACCCCACAAUUGACAUGGCUCCUCCAUCCCAGCGCUGGAAGGGCCAGUGGGAAGAGGAAAUAGAUGUCUGCACUCCUGGCUGCAGCUGGACAACAGAAGCCCCAUGCCGCCUGUCCAGUUCGGAGGAGAACUAGCUGCUGCCUUGCCUUCCGGGACCUCGUUUGCUGAGGAGGGACUUACAGACUCCACUGGUGUUUUGCUGUUGCUCAUUCCAUGCAUCUUUGGCAGCUCUUUUCUUCUGCUCAGACCCUUCCCCGUGCUCAGACAGUGCACCGCUGUCCCAUCUAAAGAAACCUGUCAGGAAUACGAGCUUUUGGGUAUGUUUCGUUUCCCAUUGCUGUAGCAUUUCUUAUCCCUUGAGAGCUGAUGAUUAUUGAGGACAGAAGGCUCAGAAACAGUUUGUGACAGAAAAUGCAGUGUUUCAUUUUUCAGGGAUAAAUGCUAAGAUAAAAUUGCUUUUCCAGGUCGUUUUUUUUUUGUGGUAAGAAUAACUAAUGGAAAAUAAUGAAACACCCUGGGGUUUGGGGAUGCUAACAACUUGUGGCUUUAACUGACAGGAGCAAUUAAAAAGAGCAAGAGGGUUCUGCAUUGGCAUAGCUUAGGGAAGGGUUAAUGAUGUCGCCACAGGUCAGCUCCUGAUCCUUGCCGACUUGAUGUUGCUGUACCAGGGCUUCCUCCCCAGAGGUGCAGCUUGCGUUUUGAGGGUGAUUGCUACAUAUGUUGUUGCUAAACAGCUCAGUAACACACUUGAAUGAAUUUGGAUACCAGAUUGUCCUCAUUACAGUUCUUUUACUCCUAGGGCACUCUACACUGGGGGUUGGGGUUGGGAGUGGUUAGUACAUUUAUUACAUUUAUUCAGAAACGUAAUGACAUAAAAGGUUAGCUCUGGGCCAGACUUCUCUUACUCUGUGGGUAAUGGUAAGGAUGUGUAAGUAAACUUGGUUCUUUUUUUUCCCUAAGAUGACGACUUGAUUUUAUCAUCUGCAGUCAAAUAACUGAGCCAAUCCAAAUUUAAAUGAUAGAUGCUUUAAUUGAGUUUAAGUAGCUGAAACUGCUGAGACACUAAACUUUAACCUUCUGAUGACUUUUUAAAAUGCCUCAAAUGUGCACAUGUAUAUAGGAUAUUUUUAUAACUUCCCUGAUGAAUAAUCUGAUAUUAAAGUAGUAUUUGGACCCAGAGCCAGAACUCGGUGGUGGAGGCUGCUGGUCUCUCCUCACCACCUUCUUUUGCACUUGGAAAGAACAGCAACAUCUGGAUAGAGUUCUAGCUUUGACUUCUCAUUUCCUUGUCUUUUUGGGUGCAUUCCUCAGCACACUUUUUUUUUUAAACCUUUUUGUUUUGUUUUGUUUGUAUUUCAUGUGGUUUUAUUUGGGGGUUUUGGUUUUUUCACCCUUUUUUGUGAUUUGCAAUGAUGUGCUUGCCCAGCUAACUUUUGAAUUGCACUUUUUAAUAAAUAUUCUUAACAAUUUUUGAAGAAGGAUAUUUUAUCUCAUUUGAGAUCAUGGUAGGUUAAGAAAAUAUGCCUGUUGAUGAAAGCUAAAAGCAAAUUUACGAAACUAAAAGGGUGAUUGACAUCCAUGUUUACACUCCGCUCUAAUGUUUGAUAUAUAAAUAAGUUAUUUUCAAAUUAGGAAAAAACAGUGAGUAUUACAAAGGGCUUCAGAUGUUUAGAGUACUAGGUUAUUUAUGUUUUACAAAGUUUGAAUCUUCUAUAAACUAAGAAAGGGGAUGAUCCUUAGAUUUGCAUUAAAAUAUAGAAGUCUUUUAAAGUAAAUGUGAACCUUGUCUAAGUACUGUAAUCCACACAACACAUUAUAAGAAGCAAACCAGCAUCUUAAGGAAUUAUAAAAUUACCCUAUUUAAAAGCCAUGCUAUUGUUCUGCUAUUACCAGAUUUAUUGUGCCACACAAAAGGAUCAUGUGUGUCAGCAGGGGCCGUUUGGAACAAACCUAGUCAUUAAUGAGUAAGAUACUCCUGUUAGUUCAGGGACCAAGUUUUAUGACCCAGAGGCUUAAUGAUGUUUGGAUAUAUUUCAAAUCGGCAUGCUUACCUCACUGAUUUAAAUUAUUUUCUAAAUAGUGGCCAUUGUAGACCUGACUCAGGCUGAAGCUAAAUAGAGAACAAUUUAGAAAGUUAACUAAAAACACAGUGCAUUCUACCCGUAGGGCCACCAUGCCCUUCUGCCCCUGGCUGACUUGAUCCUGUGUCUGAUCCCAUUGCACCCUGACUGGGCAGUCCCUACAGAACCAGUGUUAAUUUGAAGGGCCUCCACUCAGGCUCCAAAUGUGGCAGCCAAAGAGAACAAUCCAGGGAACCUACAUUUAUUUUUAAGGACAAAUAUUUCCUUCUCAGUGGUCCUCAUGUUCAGGGCUUUAGAGGGAACCCAGGUGGUCUCUUCACCCUGUGUCCUAGAAUGGGAGAGUAAGUAGACAGUGGUGAUAACCCCACACUGCUUUUAAGUGCAUCUUUAUAGUAUUUGGGGCUUUCUUACCCCUUUAGCCUUCUGUACCUAGUACCAUAUUCCAGUUUUAAAGAACUGGCAGAAUGUGAUGGAUAACAGAGGAAGAGCUCAAUUUAUGUUUAUUGGAAGAACAUUUUACUUAAAUGAUUUGAGGGGUGGGAGGGAGUGAACUACUGAGUUUGCCAGAGUGAAAAUCCAUCUGAAAAACUCAACUACCUUUAGUUUUUAGUCCUAAUUUUUGGUCUUGUCUCUGUGGACUGUGAAGAAUCACAAUGCUCUAUAUGCCCUGGACUGUGUGGCAAAUGCAGGUUGCAGCGUGUGUGUUACAUGAGGAUCUUCCACAAUUUCAGAAUGCACGCCAGAGCUGAAGGGGGAAACUUGGUAACUUGCCCAUUAUUCUCUGCUUUUAGCCAGAGUUAAACAGACUGAUGGGUCUGGUAGCCAACAACUUGGCAACUUCCACUCCUUCUCACCUCGUGAGAUUAAGGGCUGUGAAAAGAAAUCUAGUCUAACUCCAACAGAAAUCUGUCUCUGUUAAGUGUUUUACCUUCUGUAAGUAGAGAUGGUAGAGCCAAGAUUUUUCUUUUGGUAAUUUCCCUGUCUAUAAAGUGAGACCAAAGGGAUAUCUGUUCCCUGUUACCUUUUUGGAGAAUUCAUAACAUUUGAAGAUCAAAAAAUUGAAUGAUAAAUAUGAAUGGCUUUUCAAUUCUGUGGACUUUGUACCAUUUGGCUUCACCUUGUACUGCAAGAUGAAUUUGUAAACAAAACAAAAUUGGACUGUCUGGAAAGCUAAAGUUCUGAAAUAUGGAAUGUACUGCCUCUAAUUUUUCUUUGUCUUCCUCUCACUGGCAUUUUUUUCUCUCCCAGGUUUCUUAAGAAUAAUGUUUUUUAAAGGAGGCUUUUUGCCCAUCAAGAAUAAAAAGAAAUAAAACCAAA